Molecule: non-coding RNA, 222 nt
Filed under: Sphingobium sp. C100
Lineage: Bacteria; Pseudomonadati; Pseudomonadota; Alphaproteobacteria; Sphingomonadales; Sphingobiaceae
Also listed under: 1 other name
Source: RNAcentral
UGUCCGCAUGAUCGCGCCGGUGCCUCGCAAGGGGCUUAAUAGGGAACAUGGUGCGACCGCCCGCAAGGUGGUCAAAUCCAGGGCUGUCCCUGCAACUGUAAGCGGUGAGCGUGACGCACGGGUUCCGGGCCAGACCGGAACAGCCACUGGGCAUUGUCCGGGAAGGUGUGCGUCAGGCGUCGACCCGUGAGCCAGGAGACCUGCCGGUGUGGGUCGCUCAUU